RNAcentral lists this ribosomal RNA (481 nucleotides) under uncultured bacterium. RNAcentral's name for it is "partial 16S ribosomal RNA". It matches the Rfam family "Bacterial small subunit ribosomal RNA", at positions 28 to 507 of the family's 1533-position model. The record is from RNAcentral.
GAUGAGCGCUGGCGGCGUGCCUAACACAUGCAAGUCGAACGGAGAUUACGGACGGAAGUUUUCGGAUGGAAGACUGUAAUUCUUAGUGGCGGACGGGUGAGUAACGCGUGGGCAACCUGCCCUAUACAGGGGGAUAGCAGCUGGAAACGGCUGGUAAGACCGCAUAAGUCGGUUAAAUCGCAUGAUUUGAUCGGGAAAUGAGCAAUCAGGUAUAGGAUGGGCCCGCGUCCGAUUAGCCAGUUGGCAGGGUAAAAGCCUACCAAAGCGACGAUCGGUAGCCGGACUGAGAGGUCGGACGGCCACAUUGGGACUGAGACACGGCCCAAACUCCUACGGGAGGCAGCAGUGGGGGAUAUUGCACAAUGGAGGAAACUCUGAUGCAGCGACGCCGCGUGAGUGAAGAAGUAUUUCGGUAUGUAAAGCUCUAUCAGCAGGGAAGAUGAUGACGGUACCUGACGAAGAAGCCCCGGCUAACUACGUG